UGUCCUACGGGACGCAGCAGUGGGGAAUAUUGCACAAUGGGGGAAACCCUGAUGCAGCGACGCCGCGUGAGUGAAGAAGUAUUUCGGUAUGUAAAGCUCUAUCAGCAGGGAAGAAAAUGACGGUACCUGACUAAGAAGCCCCGGCUAACUACGUGCCAGCAGCCGCGGUAAUACGUAGGGGGCAAGCGUUAUCCGGAUUUACUGGGUGUAAAGGGAGCGUAGACGGCGAGACGAGUCUGGAGUGAAAGGCCGGGGCCCAACCCCGGGACUGCUCUGGAAACUGCCUGGCUGGAGUAAAGGAGAGG
This 305-nucleotide ribosomal RNA is filed under the name uncultured bacterium. RNAcentral describes it as "bacterial SSU rRNA". It matches the Rfam family "Bacterial small subunit ribosomal RNA", at positions 335 to 657 of the family's 1533-position model. The record is from RNAcentral.